CCUACGGGAGACAGCAGUGGGGGAUCUUGCACAAUGGGGGAAACCCUGAUGCCGCGACGCCGCGUGGGUGAAGAAGCGCCUCGGCGCGUAAAGCCCUGUCAGCAGGGAAGAAAAUGACAGUACCUGAAUAAGAAGCCCCGGCUACCUACGUGCCAGCCGCCGCGGUCAUACGUAGGGGGCAAGCGUUAUCCGGAUUUACUGUGUGUAAAGGGGGCGUAGACGGCGAUGCAAGCCAGGAGUGAAAGCCCGGGGCGCAACCCCGGGACUGCUGUUGGAACUGCGGGGCUGGAGUGCGGGAGGGGCAGGCGGAAUUCCUGGUGUAGGGGUGAAAUGCGUAGAUAUCAGGAGGAACACCGGUGGCGAAGGCGGCCUGCUGGAACGCAACUGACGUUGAGGCGCGAAAGCGUGGGGAGCAAACAGGAUUAGAUACCCCUGUAGUC
RNAcentral lists this ribosomal RNA (440 nucleotides) under uncultured bacterium. RNAcentral describes it as "partial 16S ribosomal RNA". It matches the Rfam family "Bacterial small subunit ribosomal RNA", at positions 338 to 795 of the family's 1533-position model. The record is from RNAcentral.